CCCGCGCCCAGAGCGCACCAAGGUCGCCACCAGCCCCCCCCCCCCGCCUGUCUCGCGCCCCUCCCGUACCUGCGGCCGCUCCGGGGCAGGUGCAGAGCCCGAAGCAGCAGUUGAGCGCGCCCUCCCUGCGCGGCCGCAUUGCUCCAGGGCGGAGCCAAGCAGGGUGUGCGGCCACCAUCCUGUGCGACUGAGUGAACCCCAGGGCCACAAAGACGAAGGGCGCAGUGUGUACCCUCAAAGAGGUCACAGCCUGAGGCAACGACAGCCAGAAACGUGUGAUGACAACCCAGAAUGGGAGGCCAAUAACCACAUGGAGAGAGUGCUGGGGAAAACAGAAACUGUUGCUUUUAAAAACCUAAAGAGCCCCUGAACAUCAGCAGUUCUUCUUGGUCCUAGGAGAUCUCAGCACGCAGGGGAGAGGGGUCGUGAGUGUGCGUGAACGAGCCCUCCUGUGGACAGAUGUGCCUGGCUACCCGUGCCAAAGCAGCCACACUGCCCUCUGAGGGUGCGCCCCGACCGCACCAGGCACCCAGGGACCCCCAGCGCUCACUGUUCCUUGCCUGCUGAGUCCGCACACCUCCUGGGAAGUGCCAGCUGCCAGGCAGAACACCCUGGCCGGACAGGCCUCAGGCUGCUCCCCAGGGCUCACAAGGGCUGCUGCAGCGCGCCGAAUAGGGUCCCCAGGGCCAGCACACCCCAGGGGGUGACCCAGCAAGGGGAAAGUGUGCCGGUGGUCCUCGGUGGGGCCACUGCUGAGGGCUACGUCUGUCCCAGCCUUGAGCCCCAAGCCUUCUCGCCUCCCACCCACCCGGCCUCCUGCCCCUGAACAUCGCCACCCAGGCACUCGGCUGGCCUGUGUCCUCCUCUGGCUGGGCCAGGUCCAAGGGCUCAGUUGUUACUCCAGGGCCGCCCAGGACAGAACUGUCAGCUCCUUGGGGUUGGCUGCAUGUGUCAGCAGCUUCAGGGCACCGGGAUACUCAGCCAUUCCCAGCCUUGAGGUCACUACAAGGACAUCGCCCACGAGAUUAGCGGUCAAGCCCGAUGCCUCCAGGAAGUAGGCUGCCCUCUGGGGGGCUCAUCUCAUCAGUCGAAGGCCCUGAGAAAACAGAGUGAGGCCUCGGAGGAGGAGGUUCAGGCCACAGCCUCAGCUCCUACUGGGUCGGCAACCUGCCCUGCUCACCCCAGCGGGGGCCUGCAGCCUGUACUCUCACAGAGGGCUCAGCGGUAUACCUCCCCAUCAGAACAGUGAGAUUUCAUGUUUGCUGCAGGAAACCUGCAGACAGUGCUGCCGAGCCUGGUCGGGUACCCACCAUGUCCAGCCCCUUCUGAGCACCAACCCCACCUGUCCAUAGCAGGCUAGGUCAGAGCUCUGCUGUUCCCUGUUUACACAUAAGGCACAGACAGGUCAGCAGCUUGGCCAAGGCAACCCCAUGCACGCAGGGCCAAGGGGCAGGCUCAGAUGUGUGGGAAGAGGCUUGGAAACCGAGUGUUGGCCUGGGGACUUUGUCCUGUCUUGGUUGGAAUGGCACUUGCGAAGUUCUGGGCAGCCCAGGUCACUAGGUUGGGCCCCGCUCCGCCCUGCCCAGGGGCCCAGGGACAGUGUCUUUCUCCUCCCCCAGUCCAGGCUGGAGGAGGCGGGUGCUGUCUGUCACGUUGCACCUGGACAGGGCCGCCGCCACUUAGCAACCAUUCCGGUUGACCGGCUGCGGGAGAGGGUGAGAAACAGGAGCUGGCGGGUGGGCAGGGCCAGGUCAGAGCCAGCUUUCCAGAGGGCAGCUGGCUGGGGGUGGGCAGGGCCGCCAGGGGAGGUGGAGCCGUGGGAAGGCAGGCACCCGUUUCCUGCCCUUCGUGACAGAGGGCGUGCUGGGGUGGGGCAGGGACACCUGGAAAGGCAGCCCAGGUCCUGAGCCCCAGGCUGGCACUGGGUCUGGUGCCCACAAGGCUGGUGCUCAGGUCCUCUUGGGGUGACGCUCCAGCUGGAAGAGCCCGGGCCAGCACUUGCCAUGCAUGAUGGCCGCAGGGAGUGGGGAGGACCAGGCUCCUGCAGAACGGCCCAGCACUGGCAGGACUGGCGCGGACGAAGGCCCCUGUGCAUGGAUGCCCAGGACUGUGACAGCACCACCACUGAGGGGGGCGGGGGAACAAGGGCACCAGGACUUUGCUUCGUGCUGGACUCAGGAGGGGCCUGGAAUCCACAUUGGCGCGAAGAGGAUCGGUGGGUGAGGGGCUCAGGUUGGGGCGCCAUGCCACGGUUCUCAUUCACAGAGGGUCUCGCUACACUUCAUGCAUGAAACUCGUAACUGAAUAGAUCCUGUUUCUGCCUGAGUACAAAAGGAUUGUGUCCACUUUAGAAAAUACAGGAAAUAAAGUCUUUUUUUUUCAUUUUUUAAAGUUACACAGAAUUGCAACACACCGUAUCAUUUGGAACACAUUUUUCACCCAAACCUAAUUUUUCUAAUCCUGCCACAUAGCUUGUAAUACUGGGUGAAAAUUUCCCAGGAUGUGUAUUUCAAAAUUUAAUUGGAUUUUCUUGGCAAUGUUUGAUUCUCAUAAAUGAUGUGGCAAAGAAGCACAGACAAAUCUUCUCACAACUGACUGUUCCUCUCGGUUAAUUUCCCGGAGGUGGGGUUAGAGGCUGGAGUGCGGCUGUUCUCAGUUUCUGAGCCGUGUACACACUGUGCACAGCCGCAGUGGCAGGCACCCGUGCCCGGCAAGUGCAGGCUCACCCUAGGUCCUUCUGCUCGGCGCUGUGCGUCCGGAGGAGGGUGAGACCCUCGCCUUCAAGACCGUCGGCCUGGCCUGGGGGCGAGCUGCCCUCUCUGGCCUGGUGUGGCAGCCACGGUGUCCGAAGCCCACUUCCCUAGGUGCCAAUGCACCGCGGAUCCCCUCUCACCCAGAAAGAAUGGCCGUCAUCAAGAAAUCAAACAGUAACAAGUGCUGGCGAGGCAGGGAGGGGGAAGGAGCCCUUCUAUUGUCGGUGGGAGUGUAAACUGGUACAACCACUGCGGAAAUCAGUGUGGAGAAUCCCAAAAAACUAAACUUGAAAAUUCCAUUUGACUCAGCUAUUUCCCUCCUAGACAUCUUCCCAAAAGAGCUAAAGUCAUCACUUCACAGUGAUCCAUGCAUGCCCAUGUUUACAGCAGCACAGCUCACAAUAGCUAAAUCUGGGUAGCAGCCUGUUAUUCAUCAGCAGAUGAAUGGAUAAAGAAAAUGUAGUAUUUACACACGAUGGAGUACUGCUCUGCCAUAAAGAAGGAUAAACUAGGAAAAUGGAUGCACCUUGCACCAUAAUGUUAAAUGAAAUAAGUCAGGCACACACAGCUUAAAUAUCAAAUGGUUUCUCUUAUAUGAGAAACCCAAAGCAAAAAUAAAGAGCAAAAUGAAAGGUAAGUGAUAGGCAAGGGGGAUAGAUCUUUUGUAAAAAGGAUAGGGGAGGGAGAGGGCACGGAGCAGAUGGGGACAGGGGGACCCAAGCUGUGUCGUGUCCACGCACCAAGUCCCAUGAUGAAUGUGAUCUCUGCUCUGGAGUUGGGCUCGGUGGAAUAAAAAGCAGAAAAAAGAAACACGUCCCGGGCCGCUCAGUGGGACCCACAUGGUAGCCGUGGGCAGGCGGAGCUGUGCGCUGUGCUGAGCGGAGGGGCUGUCGAGGGACUGUCCCCCAGGCUCUGGACAUGUUUCAGGC
Molecule: long non-coding RNA, 3682 nt
Filed under: Heterocephalus glaber (naked mole-rat)
Lineage: Eukaryota; Metazoa; Chordata; Mammalia; Rodentia; Bathyergidae
Description: lncRNA (ENSHGLG00100033413.1)
Source: RNAcentral